CAGCAACGUACCUCGAACUGGAUUGCUUUGAAUAUCUUCGGUGCUUUCAAAUUCUUCUAUAAUCAUUGGGAAGUGAAGCUUACAAUCUGUAAGGAGCCAAAGCAGUACCAUGUGAUUCAGCAGUACAGAGGAAGUCAGAAAUAUUUGGUUGCUGUGGACUUCUGGCUGAGUUGAAUUUACAACACCUUAAAAGAGAUGCCUGUGUUAAGGAUGUGAAUAGCAGGGUAUUUUUGGUAGCCUUAGUAUAAUCAAAGCAUUUCACAUUGGAUGCUCAAGCAUGCAUGCUCUGAAGUCUUCUGUUUCUGGGAUCUUCCGAAAGAAGUUCUCCUGGAACUGGAAGAUUAGCCAAGCUUUUAAAGAAUUUGGACGGCUGUGUGAAGCUGAGGUGAGCGCGUUCCUCCCUGACCCAUGCUGUAUCUCUUAAGAC
This is a long non-coding RNA of Lagopus muta (rock ptarmigan), 427 nucleotides long. RefSeq lists it as uncharacterized. The record is from RefSeq and is a predicted model, not a curated record. NCBI's taxonomy places the organism in Eukaryota, Metazoa, Chordata, Aves, Galliformes, Phasianidae. The transcript is spliced from 3 exons.